RNAcentral lists this ribosomal RNA (318 nucleotides) under Olea europaea subsp. europaea. RNAcentral's name for it is "SSU_rRNA_microsporidia". It matches the Rfam family "Eukaryotic small subunit ribosomal RNA", at positions 766 to 1085 of the family's 1831-position model. Lineage: Eukaryota; Viridiplantae; Streptophyta; Magnoliopsida; Lamiales; Oleaceae. The record is from RNAcentral.
UUAGAGCGUUCAAAAUAAGCCUACGCUCUGGAUAUAUUAGUAUGUGAUAACAUUAUAGGAUUUCGAUCCUAUUAUAUUGGCCUCUGGGAUCGGAGUAAUGAUUAACAGGAACAGUCAGGGGCAGUCAUAUUUCAUAGUUAAAGGUGAAAUUCUUGAAUUUAUGAAAAAUGAACAACUGCGAAAGUAUUUGCCAAUGAUGUUUUCAUUAAUCAAGAACGAAAGUUGAGGGCUCGAAGACGAUUAGAUACCGUCCUAAUUUAAUCGAUAAAUGAUGCCAAGCAAGGAUUGACGAAUGUUGCUUAUAGGACUCCAUCGGCA